This 434-nucleotide ribosomal RNA is filed under the name uncultured bacterium. RNAcentral's name for it is "partial 16S ribosomal RNA". It matches the Rfam family "Bacterial small subunit ribosomal RNA", at positions 29 to 507 of the family's 1533-position model. The record is from RNAcentral.
AGCGAACGCUGGCGGCAGGCCUAACACAUGCAAGUCGAACGAACCUUUCGGGGUUAGUGGCGGACGGGUGAGUAACACGUGGGAACGUGCCUUUAGGUUCGGAAUAACUCAGGGAAACUUGUGCUAAUACCGAAUGUGCCCUUCGGGGGAAAGAUUUAUCGCCUUUAGAGCGGCCCGCGUCCGAUUAGCUAGUUGGUUGAGGUAAUGGCUCACCAAGGCGACGAUCAGUAGCUGGUCUGAGAGGAUGAUCAGCCACAUUGGGACUGAGACACGGCCCAAACUCCUACGGGAAGCAGCAGUGGGGAAUCUUGCGCAAUGGGCGAAAGCCUGACGCAGCCAUGCCGCGUGAAUGAUGAAGGUCUUAGGAUUGUAAAAUUCUUUCACCGGGGACGAUAAUGACGGUACCCGGAGAAGAAGCCCCGGCUAACUUCGUG